GAUGAACGCUGGCGGCGUGCCUAAUACAUGCAAGUCGAGCGAACAGAUAAGGAGCUUGCUCCUUUGGCGUUAGCGGCGGACGGGUGAGUAACACGUGGGUAACCUACCUAUAAGACUGGAAUAACUCCGGGAAACCGGGGCUAAUGCAGGAUAACAUGUUGAACCGCAUGGUUCUACAGUGAAAGGCGGCUUUGCUGUCACUUAUAGAUGGACCCGCGCCGUAUUAGCUAGUUGGUGAGGUAACGGCUCACCAAGGCAACGAUACGUAGCCGACCUGAGAGGGUGAUCGGCCACACUGGAACUGAGACACGGUCCAGACUCCUACGGGAGGCAGCAGUAGGGAAUCUUCCGCAAUGGGCGAAAGCCUGACGGAGCAACGCCGCGUGAGUGAUGAAGGUCUUCGGAUCGUAAAACUCUGUUAUUAGGGAAGAACAAAUGCGUAAGUAACUGUGCGCGUCUUGACGGUACCUAAUCAGAAAGCCACGGCUAACUACGUG
This 497-nucleotide ribosomal RNA is filed under the name uncultured bacterium. Its description in RNAcentral is "partial 16S ribosomal RNA". It matches the Rfam family "Bacterial small subunit ribosomal RNA", at positions 28 to 507 of the family's 1533-position model. The record is from RNAcentral.